GUGGUGGCUUAGUGGUAGAGUGCUCGCCUAGUGUGUGUGAGGCACUGGGUUCAAUUCUCAGCACCACA
RNAcentral lists this transfer RNA (68 nucleotides) under Marmota marmota marmota (Alpine marmot). It matches the Rfam family "tRNA". From Rfam's summary of the family: Transfer RNA (tRNA) molecules are approximately 80 nucleotides in length. Their secondary structure includes four short double-helical elements and three loops (D, anti-codon, and T loops). The record is from Rfam by way of RNAcentral. Lineage: Eukaryota; Metazoa; Chordata; Mammalia; Rodentia; Sciuridae. RNAcentral also lists the same sequence under 1 other name.